Molecule: non-coding RNA, 120 nt
Organism: Arthrobotrys conoides
Lineage: Eukaryota; Fungi; Ascomycota; Orbiliomycetes; Orbiliales; Orbiliaceae
Source: the annotation of a GenBank genome assembly
UCUCAGAUGGUCCAGUGGUCAAGAUUUCCGCCUGUCACAAUUGCAAACAAUUUCGUACUUUAACUGAGUGCGCUGUUUGCUAGCUCGCGGACGACCGGGGUUCGAUUCCCCGUCUGAGAG